This 100-nucleotide small RNA is filed under the name Kitasatospora cheerisanensis KCTC 2395. RNAcentral's name for it is "che1 RNA". It matches the Rfam family "che1 RNA". Lineage: Bacteria; Bacillati; Actinomycetota; Actinomycetes; Kitasatosporales; Streptomycetaceae. The record is from Rfam by way of RNAcentral.
AGGACAGGGGGGUAAACCGCAGAUCCCACGCGGCGGUUCCUGGCCUCGGCGGUCGCGCAGCCCGCGCGCUCGCACGGUUGUCGCUCGGGGGUGAUCGCCG